RNAcentral lists this ribosomal RNA (426 nucleotides) under uncultured bacterium. Its description in RNAcentral is "bacterial SSU rRNA". It matches the Rfam family "Bacterial small subunit ribosomal RNA", at positions 360 to 776 of the family's 1533-position model. The record is from RNAcentral.
AAUCUUGCGCAAUGGCCGAAAGGCUGACGCAGCGACGCCGCGUGCGGGAGGACGCCCCUCGGGGUGUAAACCGCUGUCAGCGGGGAGGAACGGCCCGGGGAGGCAAUGCCCUGGGUUUGACAGUACCCGCAGAGGAAGCACCGGCUAACUCCGUGCCAGCAGCCGCGGUAAUACGGAGGGUGCGAGCGUUGUUCGGAAUUAUUGGGCGUAAAGCGCACGUAGGCGGCUCUUUAAGUCUCGCAUGUGAAAGCCCGCGGCUCAACCGCGGGACGGCACGGGAUACUGGAGGGCUGGAGACAGGUAGAGGCGAGCGGAAUUCCGGGUGUAGCGGUGGAAUGCGUAGAGAUCCGGAAGAACACCAGAGGCGAAGGCGGCUCGCUGGACCUUGUCUGACGCUGAGGUGCGAAAGCGUGGGGAGCGAACAGG